UAUGGUCAAAUCAUGCUGAAAACACCAGUUUUCAUUCAAUCAUCAGAGUUAAGCAGUAUCAAGCCUGGUCAGUACUUAGAUGGGGACCACUUGGGAACAUGGGUUACUGUAA
Molecule: non-coding RNA, 112 nt
Organism: Acanthosepion pharaonis
Lineage: Eukaryota; Metazoa; Mollusca; Cephalopoda; Sepiida; Sepiidae
Source: the annotation of a GenBank genome assembly